GACGAACGCUGGCGGCGUGCUUAACACAUGCAAGUCGAACGGAAAGACCCUGCUUGCAGGGUACUCGAGUGGCGAACGGGUGAGUAACACAUGGGUGAUCUGCCCUUCACUUCGGGUUAAGCCUGUUCAACUGGGUCUAAUACCUACUAGGUGCCAUUUUUAGUCUGAUGGUUGGAAAGUUUUUUCGGUUUAGGAUGAGCUCGCGGCCUAUCAGCUUGUUGGUGGGGUAAUGGCCUACCAAGGCGGCGACGGGUAGCCGGCCUGAGAGGGUGGACGGCCACAUUGGGACUGAGAUACGGCCCAGACUCCUACGGGAGGCAGCAGUGGGGAAGAUUGAACAAGGGGCGCAAGCCUGAUGCAGCGACGCCGCGUGGGGGAUGACGGCCUUCGGGUUGUAAACUACUUUCGCUAGGGACGAAGCUUUUUGUGACGGUACCUAGAUAAGAAGCACCGGCUAACUACGUG
RNAcentral lists this ribosomal RNA (465 nucleotides) under uncultured bacterium. RNAcentral's name for it is "partial 16S ribosomal RNA". It matches the Rfam family "Bacterial small subunit ribosomal RNA", at positions 28 to 507 of the family's 1533-position model. The record is from RNAcentral.